Molecule: long non-coding RNA, 1148 nt
Filed under: Setaria viridis
Lineage: Eukaryota; Viridiplantae; Streptophyta; Magnoliopsida; Poales; Poaceae
Description: long non-coding RNA (SVIR_LNC005722)
Source: RNAcentral
CCAAUGGCGCCGCUGCCCAAUCCCGAGCACCAGCAACGCCCCUCGCUCCCUCCUGGCCCACCGGCUAGCAAGAACUCUCCGCCGCUCCCUCGGGCCCUAUAAAAGGAGUAAAGGAGCCGCCGGAAGAGCCCUCCACACCCCUUCGCUGUUUUUCUCCCCGCCGCCUCUGUUUCUCACGCCGCCACCCACCUCGCCAUGAAGAGCUUCCCUCCGCCGGCCAAACCCCCUUGCCACCACCCGUUUGCACACCGCUAGUGGCCCCCGAAGCUCUAGCCGCCGCCAGACGACUGCCCGAGGCCGCCCCGCUGCCGAAACACCUCAAGCCGCCGCGACCGUGCCCGAGCUCAUCGCCGCCACCGUGUUCCGACCCUCACCGGCCAUCUCUGUUGCCCCAACCUCGCCAAGUCGAGCUCAGGUGAGCCCAUACGCACCCCCGACCACUUGUCGCCCGACCCCCUCCGGCGAAUCGCCGAAAUCGGCCGCCGCCCGCCACCGUGCGCCGCCAAGGGCAUGGGUGUAAUCGUGAAAGUAGAUUUAGGGUGUGAAUGCUAAAAUCGAGGGUAUGGCUGUGAUUUCUGAAAAGUCUGUAGGGCCCCUAUGCAAAUGUGAUUCAGUUAAUUAAUAAAAAUUGGCAGGAAAUAGGAUAAAUUUGGGAAUGCCCAGUAAAUCAGGAAAAAUCAGAAAAAUACGAAAUAAAUUUUGUUGGAAUCCUUGUUCUGUGUAGGUUUUUUAAAAAAUAAGUUUUCCCAUGUUACUAUUGUAAAUAAUAUCCUAUAGUUUUAUUUCUUGCUUAGACCUUUUAAAUCAUAGUAAAUAGAAGAAAAAUGCUAAAAGGGUAAAUCUAACUCUGUGGUGUAUGUUUCAGUUAGUAGAAGCUCAGAAAAAUACUUUGUGCCCUGGAGUAGAACUUAAUGUCUCUGUUUUAACCUUAUAUUUGAGAUCUAGGGUUAAAUCUUUCUUUUUGCAUAAGUUUUAAUCCAAAGCUGAGAAAAAUGUGAAACCACUUGGAGUAGCUUAGUUUUGCAGUAUAGUUUGUAGGAAAAUUAUGGGUUGAGGUCCAAAUCAGAAAGAAAUCCACCUUCCUUAUAGAACAUGAUAAAUAGGAGAUAAAUAUGGGAAAUAGAUGUCCUUCUCCAAAAAUUAUGAAA